This 690-nucleotide unclassified non-coding RNA is filed under the name Hevea brasiliensis (rubber tree). Lineage: Eukaryota; Viridiplantae; Streptophyta; Magnoliopsida; Malpighiales; Euphorbiaceae. The record is from RNAcentral.
CACAAAUUAAAAAAAAAAAAAAAAAAUCCUGUUUUUCGGUUUCUCUUCCUUUGUAAGAUGAAAAGAUUGAAAAUUUUUAUUUAAGACAAUCUGGGGUGGAGAUUGCCGGCUCUGAUGUCGACUAUUUCCAUUCACGGACCUGACUUCUCUGGUUUUCUAAAUGAUGGAUUCAGAAAUCAUCCAAGAUUUCACAGGAUCGCUGCUUCUUUGACAGUGGCCAUGGAUUCUAGGUCUUCUCAAACGAGGAAGAAGGAAGGGCUAUCGAUACAACUUCCAGCACCAUCUAUUUCUCAAAUUGAGACCUCGAGGCUACCUGAUCUGCGAUUUGACCGUCUUCAAAUACCCGAGAAGGAUUUGGUACAUGAGGACAAGUUAGAAUUUGGGCAAUUUGUGGCACGAGAAGCUAUAAUUGAUGAAGAAUUCUGGACAGCAGCCUGGCUACGAGCAGAAAGCCACUGGGAAGAUCGAACAAAUGAUCGAUAUGUUGAUAACCACAAAAGGAAGUUUGCAGAGCAGGAGUUCCAUGCCAUAAAAAAGCGUCGAACAGGUCUACAUGGACAAAACUGUUGUUGUGUUGUUGCGGAGCGGGUGAAGGUUCCUAUCUUCCGCAGUUUCUGCCGGAGGGGCCNACUGUACUGAAAAGUGUAGUUGGAACUCUUGAUUUGAGCAUUCGGUGCUUAUUGCAGGGAG